GACGAACGCUGGCGGCGUGCUUAACACAUGCAAGUCGAACGGAAAGGCCCUGCUUUUGUGGGGUGCUCGAGUGGCGAACGGGUGAGUAACACGUGAGUAACCUGCCCUUGACUUUGGGAUAACUUCAGGAAACUGGGGCUAAUACCGGAUAGGAGCUCCUGCUGCAUGGUGGGGGUUGGAAAGUUUCGGCGGUUGGGGAUGGACUCGCGGCUUAUCAGCUUGGUGGUGGGGUAGUGGCUUACCAAGGCUUUGACGGGUAGCCGGCCUGAGAGGGGGACCGGCCACAUUGGGACUGAGAUACGGCCCAGACUCCUACGGGAGGCAGCAGUGGGGAAUAUUGCACAAUGGGCGGAAGCCUGAUGCAGCAACGCCGCGUGCGGGAUGACGGCCUUCGGGUUGUAAACCGCUUUCGCCUGUGACGAAGCGUGAGUGACGGUAAUGGGUAAAGAAGCACCGGCUAACUACGUG
RNAcentral lists this ribosomal RNA (468 nucleotides) under uncultured bacterium. Its description in RNAcentral is "partial 16S ribosomal RNA". It matches the Rfam family "Bacterial small subunit ribosomal RNA", at positions 28 to 507 of the family's 1533-position model. The record is from RNAcentral.